RNAcentral lists this long non-coding RNA (1101 nucleotides) under Homo sapiens (human). Its description in RNAcentral is "HSALNT0315979". Lineage: Eukaryota; Metazoa; Chordata; Mammalia; Primates; Hominidae. The record is from RNAcentral.
AGCUUGGAGCCGCAGGGCUUAAUCCCGCGCGGCUCAGAGAUGGGUUUCUGGACUCGCGAAGCAGCUGCAACAAGGCAUCACUCACUGUAUAAGUAUUUCCAUUUCUGAGAGCAAAAGGAAGAACUUAAGCGGGCGGCACUUGGAGUGUAAAUUGCUUUGUAGUAUUUAAAGGCAGAAUGGAUCCUGGGCAGCCGAGCUGCAACAAACCGGCAGGACUUCCUGUGAAAUCAUGACCACCAUGUGCUCUUUCAGCCUCUAUCAGUUCCUACCUCUAAGCACCUGAGAGCCAAAGCAAACCACAGGAAACCACAGGUACUAACUCUUUUAGACCUGAUGAAGUGUCUCCCAAAUACAGUCUGGCAUGACUCAAACUAAACGUCAGCUUUUCCCGGCUCUCAAGCCUGCUGGUCCCUGAACUAAAACUCACAUUAUCAACUCUACUGGUUCUUAGGCCUUUGGAGUCAGACUGGAACUACAGCAUUGACUCUUCCGGAACUCCAGCUUACUGACUACAGAUCUUGGAACUUUUCAGCUUCCACAACCAUAAUGAAAGCCAAGCAUAUUCCAUCAUUUCCUAAAACCAAGAUAGAGCACAUAUGGGAACUUGUGAAAUAAGGAUGCCCUGCGGUUGUUUUCAGGACUGAAGACAACAGCUCCACGAUGAAACCAAAGCACAAAGAGAGAAAGAAAAGAAAGAGAAAAAAGGAAGAAAGAAAAGAAAGAUGAAAGAAAGAAAGAGAAAGAAGAGAGAGGGAGAGAGAGAAAGAAAGAGAAGGAAAGAAAGAAGGAAGAAGAAAGAAAGAAAGAAAGAAAGAAAGAAAGAAAGAAAGAAAGAAAGAAAGAAAGAAAGAAAGAAAGAAAGAAAAAAGGAAGGAAGGAAAAGAAACACAUGGAAAGUGCUUCUUUGGACCUUUUAAGUUGCAUUAUCCCAUAAAAUGUGGUGGAUUCAAUGUUGUAUGGCCUGUAAAACUAAGUAAUGAAGGCUGAUAUGUACCCACCUGGCUCUGUCUUGGGAUCACACAACUUGGGAGCCAAAACAGAUUGCAAAUGAUGUUCAAAUCAAGGACUGGCUUAAGGGAGAAAAUCAAUUAUACUGUACAA